This 319-nucleotide ribosomal RNA is filed under the name uncultured bacterium. RNAcentral's name for it is "bacterial SSU rRNA". It matches the Rfam family "Bacterial small subunit ribosomal RNA", at positions 189 to 507 of the family's 1533-position model. The record is from RNAcentral.
UCGGACGAAGAGGUAAAGGUUACGGGACGGGGAGUGGGCAUGCGUGCCAUUAGCUUGUUGGCGGGGUAACGGCCCACCAAGGCUACGAUGGCUAGGGGAGCUGAGAGGCUGAACCCCCACACUGGUACUGAGACACGGACCAGACUCCUACGGGAGGCAGCAGUGAGGAAUAUUGGUCAAUGGGCGAGAGCCUGAACCAGCCAUGCCGCGUGCAGGAAGACGGCCCUACGGGUUGUAAACUGCUUUUCUGCGGGAAGAACGGCCCCGACGCGAUCGGGGUGUGACGGUACCGCAGGAAUAAGGAUCGGCUAACUCCGUG